This 376-nucleotide ribosomal RNA is filed under the name uncultured bacterium. Its description in RNAcentral is "bacterial SSU rRNA". It matches the Rfam family "Bacterial small subunit ribosomal RNA", at positions 524 to 898 of the family's 1533-position model. The record is from RNAcentral.
UACAGAGGGUGCGAGCGUUGUCCGGAAUCACUGGGCGUAAAGGGCGCGUAGGUGGCUUGGUAAGCGUGUGGUGAAAGUCCGGGGCUCAACCCCGGAUCUGCCAUGCGAACUGCCGAGCUCGAGCAUUGUAGAGGCAGGUGGAAUUUCGGGUGUAGCGGUGGAAUGCGUAGAUAUCCGAAAGAACACCGGUGGCGAAGGCGGCCUGCUGGGCAAUUGCUGACACUGAGGCGCGACAGCGUGGGGAGCAAACAGGAUUAGAUACCCUGGUAGUCCACGCCGUAAACGAUGGGUACUAGGUGUCUGGGGGAGCGACCCCCUGGGUGCCGUCGCUAACGCAUGAAGUACCCCGCCUGGGGAGUACGGCCGCAAGGCUGAA